RNAcentral lists this ribosomal RNA (405 nucleotides) under uncultured bacterium. RNAcentral describes it as "bacterial SSU rRNA". It matches the Rfam family "Bacterial small subunit ribosomal RNA", at positions 361 to 776 of the family's 1533-position model. The record is from RNAcentral.
AUAUUGCGCAAUGGGCGGAAGCCUGACGCAGCAACGCCGCGUGAGGGAUGACGGCCUUCGGGUUGUAAACCUCUUUCAGCGCUGACGAAGCCUUCGGGUGACGGUAGGCGCCGAAGAAGCACCGGCUAACUACGUGCCAGCAGCCGCGGUAAUACGUAGGGUGCGAGCGUUGUCCGGAAUUAUUGGGCGUAAAGGGCUCGUAGGCGGCUUGUCGCGUCUGCUGUGAAAGCCCGGGGCUUAACUCCGGGUCUGCAGUGGAUACGGGCAGGCUAGAGUCCGGCAGGGGAGACUGGAAUUCCUGGUGUAGCGGUGGAAUGCGCAGAUAUCAGGAGGAACACCGGUGGCGAAGGCGGGUCUCUGGGCCGGUACUGACGCUGAGGAGCGAAAGCGUGGGGAGCGAACAGG